Molecule: long non-coding RNA, 346 nt
Organism: Ornithorhynchus anatinus (platypus)
Lineage: Eukaryota; Metazoa; Chordata; Mammalia; Monotremata; Ornithorhynchidae
Exons: 3
Source: RefSeq, a predicted model, not a curated record
UACGAUUGAAUGACUGUAGUGCUCUGCUCACGGGAUGCAGCCGUUAAAUACCAUUGAUGGAUUUCCUGAGCUAACUGGAAUCACGACUAAACCAGAUGAUAGAACGGUCGGCUCUCCGGGAGGAAGAGAAAACGGAAGGUCACCGCAGCUGAGACUGGAGAAGAACAACAGUGGAGGGGAGUGGCUGUUUCGCUCCCAGACGUCAGCAUUCAGGGGGCUCAUACUCCACAGAGGAGAAGACGUAGUACAGGAAAUGAGGUGGACGCAAGAGACGAAUCUCAGUGUUUUAGAAGAGAACGGGAACUCGUUUAUUAGAAACCGGAUUAAAAAAAAAAAAAGAACCAUC